Molecule: ribosomal RNA, 497 nt
Filed under: uncultured bacterium
Lineage: Bacteria
Description: partial 16S ribosomal RNA
Rfam family: Bacterial small subunit ribosomal RNA
Source: RNAcentral
GAUGAACGCUGGCGGCGUGCCUAAUACAUGCAAGUCGAGCGAACAGACGAUGAGCUUGCUCCUCUGACGUUAGCGGCGGACGGGUGAGUAACACGUGGAUAACCUACCUAUAAGACUGGGAGAACUUCGGGAAACCGGAGCUAAUACCGGAUAAUAUAUUGAACCGCAUGGUUCAAUAGUGAAAGACGGUUUUGCUGUCACUUAUAGAUGGAUCCGCGCCGCAUUAGCUAGUUGGUAAGGUAACGGCUUACCAAGGCAACGAUGCGUAGCCGACCUGAGAGGGUGAUCGGCCACACUGGAACUGAGACACGGUCCAGACUCCUACGGGAGGCAGCAGUAGGGAAUCUUCCGCAAUGGGCGCAAGCCUGACGGAGCAACGCCGCGUGAGUGAUGAAGGUCUUCGGAUCGUAAAACUCUGUUAUUAGGGAAGAACAAAUGUGUAAGUAACUAUGCACGUCUUGACGGUACCUAAUCAGAAAGCCACGGCUAACUACGUG